RNAcentral lists this unclassified non-coding RNA (1043 nucleotides) under Neodiprion pinetum (white pine sawfly). RNAcentral's name for it is "uncharacterized LOC124220910, transcript variant X4". Lineage: Eukaryota; Metazoa; Arthropoda; Insecta; Hymenoptera; Diprionidae. The record is from RNAcentral.
GAACAACUCCGAGUCAAUCCGAGCACGACCGAACCGGCGGCCAUUUUGCAACUCUAGAUACGAGGUUCGAACGUCGUGAAGUUCGGACGUAGCGUCUCGGUCGCCGCGGAUUUAAUUUUGGGAGUGACUCCGAUAGUGAAAUAUUGAAUUAAAAUGCAGUCAACAACGCAGUCAGAAAUCAACGCCUUGACGACGACCCGGUGCAGCUGCAAAUACGUCGGAGCAAAGUAAGCUGAUGCUGUUCAGGCGCUGGGCGACGGAUACUGCGAUGUUAUCAUUUCUCUCUACUGCUCCAGGCGUAUUAUUCCCGGUCCGAACAACAAACAGAGUCGAUUAAUUGGCUGUUCCAGAAACAAAAGAACAGAGACAGGUCUGAACACGAGGUGCAUGGACUGCAAAGGAGUCUGGAAGCGGUGACGCCGUGCGGAUUUGUUGUCCUACGGGGUGACAUAGACGUCGCGUCUGCAUCUAUCGCAGCGGCAAAAAACCGUCUGGACCUUCUCUCCGGGUGGUGAUCGAGCCUGAUGGUGCGGUAAACUCUGGAGAGAAGGGAAAAAAGAAUGGCUUUUAUUUACGAGGGGCACAGAGGCGUCCUGCCGACAAGCUGACUGCAAAGAAACUCGGAGUUGAAUACCGCGAGGAACGGGGUUAGGGGUGGCAGGAGCAACUCGCUGGGGGAAGAAGAAACGUAUUUCCCGACGGGAAGACGCAAGGAAUUACCGUGGAAAGGAGGAAAAUAAUGAAAUCUCUUCUUAAAAUCUGUUAUACCGCGUACGAAAAUUACGAUAAUAUCGCAAUUGAAGCGAUAUCGUUGCUCUUCACGGCGAGGAAGAAGAAGAAAUCCAUCAUCCGAGAUCGCACGUUUAUAAUACACUAUUGUCAGGUAAGAUUUCAACGUAGGUUUGACGGCAGAAGGUACAUACAACAUAUUCGUAUUCUUUGUAAUUACGACCAAUUUAGAAGAUUUAAAAUUACUAUUCACGCUAUCGUACCGUUUACGACCAAAUACCUGCUGUAAGAAGUCCUUGUAAUAAAAAUAUUUG